Molecule: ribosomal RNA, 325 nt
Filed under: uncultured eukaryote
Lineage: Eukaryota
Description: partial 18S ribosomal RNA
Rfam family: Eukaryotic small subunit ribosomal RNA
Source: RNAcentral
CCCUUAGAUGUUCUGGGCUGCACACGCGCUACACUGAAGGGAUCAGCGUGUUCUUUUCCUGGUCCGAAAGGAUCGGGUAACCCGCUGAACCCCCUUCGUGGUAGGGAUCGGAGCUUGCAAUUAUUCUCCGUGAACCAGGAAUUCCCAGUAAACGCAAGUCAUCAGCUUGCAUUGAUUACGUCCCUGCCCUUUGUACACACCGCCCGUCGCACCUACCGAUUGAAUGGUCCGGUGAAAUCUCCGGACUGGCGUGAGUCGGAGCAAUCUGACAAACACCGGAAAGUUGAUUAAACCUUACCAUUUAGAGGAAGGUGAANUCGUAACA